RNAcentral lists this microRNA (22 nucleotides) under Macaca mulatta (Rhesus monkey). Its description in RNAcentral is "Mml-Mir-1252_3p* (star (passenger))". RNAcentral also lists the same sequence under 1 other name. Lineage: Eukaryota; Metazoa; Chordata; Mammalia; Primates; Cercopithecidae. The record is from RNAcentral.
AAUGAGCUUAAUUUCCUUUUUU